Lontra canadensis (Northern American river otter) is the source of this 135-nucleotide long non-coding RNA. RefSeq lists it as uncharacterized. The record is from RefSeq and is a predicted model, not a curated record. NCBI's taxonomy places the organism in Eukaryota, Metazoa, Chordata, Mammalia, Carnivora, Mustelidae. The transcript has 3 exons.
GGGCACCUGGGUGGCUCAGAAACUCAUCUUUUAAAAGAGAAGCAGUCACAAAACCAUUUCUAUGAGUCAGGGAGUGAUUCCUUUUUUCUUAUACAGUUUGUUAUGAACUCUGGGAUUCUGAAUUAAAGCUGCUAC